AUAUUUUGGUCAAACAUACUAACAAAUAAGGCAAAUUAUGCGUCUGAGCAAUGAUAGCCGUAAUGGUCACUUCCACUGAUACAUAGACAAUCACUUCAAAAACUUGCCUCAACAAUAUUAAAUAAAAAAAAAUUCUCAUGUUAUUACACUAAUAACCAAUGGUACCACAAGUGGUACACCUAUAAAUAAGCACAUAAAAAAUAAAAAAUAAACCAUAAAAAACUUUAAUACAGUUUGAACUUAGCCUACUUCUGCGGGUUUCACCCAAAAAUGAAUCUAAC
RNAcentral lists this long non-coding RNA (281 nucleotides) under Gossypium raimondii (Peruvian cotton). Its description in RNAcentral is "long non-coding RNA (GRAI_LNC004817)". The record is from RNAcentral. Lineage: Eukaryota; Viridiplantae; Streptophyta; Magnoliopsida; Malvales; Malvaceae.